AUGAGGCUCGCUGCAACUUCCAGUGUUCUUGUCACCCUCUUCUUCAUUGCUCUCUUCCUUGGCUCAUGCGAGGCUCGACGCCUUCUUGUCCAUGGCGCCACGGGCAGUUCAAGCGAGUCACCUCCUGCGCCGCGCAAGGCUGAUGGUUCUCCGAUAAACCAGCCGAACGAUCUAUCAACUGCGGACGCUAAGGAUGCUUGCGUUGAUCAUUUCGACGCCAAGGUGAAGGAGGGAGUGGCGGUACCAUCAGGCGCAGCUCGGAUGGCGGUUAUCGGUAGGGUUUCACGGCGGCUUUCUCAUAGGAAUUUGCAAGUGGUGGGCACAGCGUUUCAUCUAGAUUAUGCUGGGCCUGAGACCCAUCCCCCCACUCACAACUGA
RNAcentral lists this ribosomal RNA (378 nucleotides) under Triticum aestivum (bread wheat). RNAcentral's name for it is "partial small subunit ribosomal RNA". Lineage: Eukaryota; Viridiplantae; Streptophyta; Magnoliopsida; Poales; Poaceae. The record is from RNAcentral.